RNAcentral lists this microRNA precursor (128 nucleotides) under Glycine max (soybean). RNAcentral's name for it is "miR399n stem-loop (gma-MIR399n)". Its record names the gene gma-MIR399n. The record is from miRBase by way of RNAcentral. Lineage: Eukaryota; Viridiplantae; Streptophyta; Magnoliopsida; Fabales; Fabaceae.
GCAAAUCAUUCAUAGGGCAUGUCUCUUUUGGCAGGUAAUGGUGAUUACUUUGGAUUAAUUUAGAGCUACCAAAAUAUGUCUUAUAUAGUAAUCAACUUGCCAAAGGAGAGCUGCCCUGUGAGUGUUUG